This 345-nucleotide long non-coding RNA is filed under the name Nicotiana benthamiana. RNAcentral describes it as "long non-coding RNA (NBEN_LNC025162)". The record is from RNAcentral. Lineage: Eukaryota; Viridiplantae; Streptophyta; Magnoliopsida; Solanales; Solanaceae.
UCCUCUACCCAUCUACUGUCAACCCCUCAAAUGGUGAAAUCCCAAUCGGCAGCAAUGGCAAUCGAGUGCCUUACCUGCAACUCCUCCCCUCCAAUCUUGAAAAGACCCCAAAGGUCACCAACGUUACAUCCGUAAUAAAUUACCGACAAAAAUCCCUACUCCCAACACAAACUCUCUCGUCCACUUCCCAAGAUGUGACAAUGGAGGCUUUUAUGAUGGGAAACCAAUUAUCCUCCCACAUUUCAAACCUCUCCAAUUCCAGUAAAUAAAAAAAAAAUCCAAAAAUGGGAAAAAACCAGACGCCAAGAAAGUCACCCUAAUAGUGGAGAACCAGGCACACCUUGC